CUUACCCGAGAGCGUGGUCUGAAGUGAGAAAAGAGAAGGAACAAUGUCUGAUGGCGCGUUUUUGAAGAUCUGACCUGUAACUUGGCCUUGUGAUGUGGCCUGAAGAAGAUCUACAUGGAGUUGAGGAAGUGACGGACUCUCUGCCCGAGCGUUCAUGAUCAGGCCGUACAACAACAGUUCAUGCCUUUUCAUUUGGAGUCUUCGGUGUCUUGCGCCCUCUGCUGGUUACAGUGGAGAUUGAAACAUGUUUACGUCACAAACCAGGAUGACGUUUGGAAAGAUGCGAUGACGACUUCUGGUGAGCUCUGUUCACACAACCCUGGAGGAAGUGUCCGGGGUGAAGGAAGUCUGGGAGUUCCUGCUUAGACAAUCUGGAAGAUCGUACUUGAACGCCUCGAUCAGCCCUUCGAUGGAGUGAAUGAGUCCGGAGAUUGCGCAGAUCCCGCCCACGAAAAAGAUGGCGACAUCGAAGAAAACGUGGUGCCAGAGGAGGUUCCUCCACUGCAGCUUGAGGUGGAAGAGGCUGGGGAGAAGGAAGGCCAACCCCGCUCCGGUCAAGCUCCCGGUCAGCCCCAUCAGGAGGGCGAAGUGUGGAACGAAAACAGCCAUGAGUAAAGUGAAGACCACCAGGGCCACUCUCAGUCCGAGUCCCCAGGUUUUGAGCUGCCCAUUGGGGCCGUAGCAGUCCGGAAACAGGGCCCUGCCUCCGUCCUGGAACAGCGAUUUCUCCAGGACUUCAACAGCGGCAAAAAACGGCAACGGGUAAGACAACAACGCUUUAGCUACCAGAAAGAGAUUGACCACCGCGCGGAUG
Boleophthalmus pectinirostris (great blue-spotted mudskipper) is the source of this 814-nucleotide long non-coding RNA. RefSeq lists it as uncharacterized. The transcript is spliced from 4 exons. Lineage: Eukaryota; Metazoa; Chordata; Actinopteri; Gobiiformes; Gobiidae. The record is from RefSeq and is a predicted model, not a curated record.